RNAcentral lists this transfer RNA (85 nucleotides) under Felis catus (domestic cat). It matches the Rfam family "tRNA". Rfam says of the family: Transfer RNA (tRNA) molecules are approximately 80 nucleotides in length. The record is from Rfam by way of RNAcentral. Lineage: Eukaryota; Metazoa; Chordata; Mammalia; Carnivora; Felidae.
GCCUGAGUGGCUCAGUUGGUUAAGCGUCCGGCUUUGGCUCGGGUCAUGAUCUUGUGGUCCGUGAGUUCAAGCCCCGCCUUGGGCU